GUCGGGCUUGUACUAUGUUAUUACGGCAACUACUUCAAGCUAAACCUGCAAGGUGAAAUCUGGGGCUGGUCCUGCUUCUUUGUCGCCAUAGCUGCUGUUGCUUUUGGUUCUGCCUACUACCAUCUCGAGCCAAAUGAUGCACGUCUUGUUUGGGAUCGUCUACCUAUGACUGUUGCAUUCACAUCAAUCAUGGCAAUCUUCAUCAUUGAAAGGGU
This 215-nucleotide unclassified non-coding RNA is filed under the name Hevea brasiliensis (rubber tree). The record is from RNAcentral. Lineage: Eukaryota; Viridiplantae; Streptophyta; Magnoliopsida; Malpighiales; Euphorbiaceae.